CGGGAUAACAUUCUGAAAAGAUGCUAAUACCGCAUGACAUAUCGGAACCACAUGGUUCUGAUAUCAAAGAUUUUAUCGCUUGAAGAUGGACUCGCGUCCGAUUAGUUAGUUGGUGAGGUAACGGGCUCACCAAGACCGCGAUCGGUAGCCGGACUGAGAGGUUGAACGGCCCACAUUGGGACUGAGACACGGCCCCAGACUCCUACGGGGAGGGCAGCAGUGGGGGGAUAUUGCGCAAAUGGGGGGCAACCCCUGACGCAGCAAACGCCGCGUGAAGGAUGAAGGUUUUUCGGAUUGUAAACUUCUUUUAUUAAGGACGAAAAAUGACGGUACUUAAUGAAUAAGCUCCGGCUAACUACGUGCCAGCAGCCGCGGUAAUACGUAGGGAGCAAGCGUUGUCCGGAUUUACUGGGUGUAAAGGGUGCGUAGGCGGCUUUGCAAAGUCAGAUGUGAAAUCUAUGGGCUCAAACCCAUAAACUGCAUUUGAAACUGUAGAGCUUGAGUGAAGUAGAGGCAGGCGGAAUUCCCCGUGUAGCGGUGAAAUGCGUAGAGAUGGGGAGGAACACCAGUGGCGAAGGCGGCCUGCUGGGCUUUAACUGACGCUGAGGCACGAAAGCGUGGGUAGCGAACGAGGAUUAGAUACCCUGGUAGUCCGCGCUGUA
This 662-nucleotide ribosomal RNA is filed under the name uncultured bacterium. RNAcentral describes it as "bacterial SSU rRNA". It matches the Rfam family "Bacterial small subunit ribosomal RNA", at positions 139 to 804 of the family's 1533-position model. The record is from RNAcentral.